This 395-nucleotide unclassified non-coding RNA is filed under the name soil metagenome. RNAcentral describes it as "partial contains 5.8S ribosomal RNA, internal transcribed spacer 2, and large subunit ribosomal RNA". The stretch from base 1 to 122 matches the Rfam family "5.8S ribosomal RNA", at positions 35 to 154 of the family's 154-position model. The record is from RNAcentral.
GAUGAAGAACGUAGUGAAAUGCGAUACUUGGUGUGAAUUGCAGAAUCCCGUGAACCAUCGAGUCUUUGAACGCAAGUUGCGCCCGAAGCCAUCAGGUUGAGGGCACGUCUGCCUGGGCGUCACAUAUCGUUGCCCAAUGCCUAUUGCAGUGCAAUAGGAAUUUCUAGGGCGAAUGAUGGCUUCCCGUGAGCGUUGUUGCCUCGCGGUUGGUUGAAAAUCGAGUCCUUGGUAGGGUGUGCCAUGGUAGAUGGUGGUCGAGUUAGAACGAUACCGAUCAUGUGCAUGCUCCCCAAAAUAUGGCCUCUAUGACCCACACGCGUCUUUUGACGCUCAUGACGAGACCUCAGGUCAGGCGGGGCUACCCGCUGAAUUUAAGCAUAUUAAUAAGCGGAGGA